RNAcentral lists this ribosomal RNA (364 nucleotides) under uncultured Microbacterium sp. RNAcentral's name for it is "bacterial SSU rRNA". It matches the Rfam family "Bacterial small subunit ribosomal RNA", at positions 505 to 871 of the family's 1533-position model. The record is from RNAcentral. Lineage: Bacteria; Bacillati; Actinomycetota; Actinomycetes; Micrococcales; Microbacteriaceae.
GUGCCAGCCGCUGCGGUAAUACGUAGGGCGCAAGCGUUAUCCGGAAUUAUUGGGCGUAAAGAGCUCGUAGGCGGUCUGUCGCGUCUGCUGUGAAAACCCGAGGCUCAACCUCGGGCCUGCAGUGGGUACGGGCAGACUAGAGUGCGGUAGGGGAGAUUGGAAUUCCUGGUGUAGCGGUGGAAUGCGCAGAUAUCAGGAGGAACACCGAUGGCGAAGGCAGAUCUCUGGGCCGUAACUGACGCUGAGGAGCGAAAGGGUGGGAGCAAACGAGGCUUAGAUACCCUGGUAGUCCACCCGUAAACGUUGGGAACUAGUUGUGGGUCCAUUCCACGGAUUCCGUGACGCAGCUAACGCAUUAGUCCCG